This 482-nucleotide ribosomal RNA is filed under the name uncultured bacterium. RNAcentral's name for it is "partial 16S ribosomal RNA". It matches the Rfam family "Bacterial small subunit ribosomal RNA", at positions 30 to 507 of the family's 1533-position model. The record is from RNAcentral.
AUUGAACGCUGGCGGCAUGCUUUACACAUGCAAGUCGAACGGUAACAGGCCGCAAGGUGCUGACGAGUGGCGAACGGGUGAGUAAUGCAUCGGAACGUGCCCAGUCGUGGGGGCUAACUACUCGAAAGAGUAGCUAAUACCGCAUACGAUCUAUGGAUGAAAGCGGGGGACCGUAAGGCCUCGCGCGUUUUGAUCGGCCGAUGUCAGAUUAGGUAGUUGGUGGGGUAAAGGCUCACCAAGCCAACCAUCCGUAGCUGGUCUGAGAGGACGACCAGCCACACUGGGACUGAGACACGGCCCAGACUCCGAAGGGAGGCAGCAGUGGGGAAUUUUAGACAAUGGGGGAAAGCCUGAUCCAGCAAUGCCGCGUGGAGGAAGAAGGCCUUCGGGUUGUAAACUGCUUUUGUACGGAACGAAACGGCUCUGGUUAAUACCCGGGGCUAAUGACGGUACCGGAAGAAUAAGCACCGGCUAACUACGUG